GACGAACGCUGGCGGCGUGCUUAACACAUGCAAGUCGAACGGAAAGGCCCUGCUUUUGUGGGGUGCUCGAGUGGCGAACGGGUGAGUAACACGUGAGUAACCUGCCCUUGACUUUGGGAUAACUUCAGGAAACUGGGGCUAAUACCGGAUAGGAGCUCCUGUUGCAUGGUGGGGGUUGGAAAGUUUCGGCGGUUGGGGAUGGACUCGCGGCUUAUCAGCUUGUUGGUGGGGUAGUGGCUUACCAAGGCUUUGACGGGUAGCCGGCCUGAGAGGGUGACCGGCCACAUUGGGACUGAGAUACGGCCCAGACUCCUACGGGGGGCAGCAGUGGGGAAUAUUGCACAAUGGGCGGAAGCCUGAUGCAGCAACGCCGCGUGCGGGAUGACGGCCUUCGGGUUGUAAACCGCUUUCGCCUGUGACGAAGCGUGAGUGACGGUAAUGGGUAAAGAAGCACCGGCUAACUACGUG
This 468-nucleotide ribosomal RNA is filed under the name uncultured bacterium. Its description in RNAcentral is "partial 16S ribosomal RNA". It matches the Rfam family "Bacterial small subunit ribosomal RNA", at positions 28 to 507 of the family's 1533-position model. The record is from RNAcentral.